CCAGACUCCUACGGGAGGCAGCAGUGAGGAAUAUUGGUCAAUGGGCUUACGCCUGAACCAGCCAAGUCGCGUGAGGGAAGACGGCCCUAUGGGUUGUAAACCUCUUUUGUCGGGGAGCAAGGUCGCUACGUGUAGUGAUUUGAGAGUACCCGAAGAAAAAGCAUCGGCUAACUCCGUGCCAGCAGCCGCGGUAAUACGGAGGAUGCGAGCGUUAUCCGGAUUUAUUGGGUUUAAAGGGUGCGUAGGCGGGAGAUCAAGUCAGCGGUAAAAAUGCGGGGCCCAACCCCGUCGAGCCGUUGAAACUGGUUUUCUUGAGUGGGCGAGAGGUAUGCGGAAUGCGUGGUGUAGCGGUGAAAUGCAUAGAUAUCACGCAGAACCCCGAUUGCGAAGGCAGCAUACCGGCGCCCAACUGACGCUGAGGCACGAAAGCGUGGGUAUCGAACAGGAUUAGAUACCCUAGUA
This 462-nucleotide ribosomal RNA is filed under the name uncultured bacterium. RNAcentral describes it as "bacterial SSU rRNA". It matches the Rfam family "Bacterial small subunit ribosomal RNA", at positions 331 to 792 of the family's 1533-position model. The record is from RNAcentral.